Molecule: non-coding RNA, 69 nt
Organism: Rattus norvegicus (Norway rat)
Lineage: Eukaryota; Metazoa; Chordata; Mammalia; Rodentia; Muridae
Source: Rfam
GGGGAUUUGGCUCAGUGGUAGAGCGCUUGCCUAGCAAGCGCAAGGUCCUGGGUUCGGUCCCCAGCUCCG